Molecule: ribosomal RNA, 274 nt
Filed under: uncultured bacterium
Lineage: Bacteria
Description: partial 16S ribosomal RNA
Rfam family: Bacterial small subunit ribosomal RNA
Source: RNAcentral
AUACGGAGGGUGCGAGCGUUACUCGGAGUCACUGGGCGUAAAGCGUCCGUAGGCGGUCGGGUAAGUCGGGUGUGAAAGCCCCGGGCUCAACCUGGGAAGUGCACCCGAUACUGCUCGACUCGAGUGCGGGAGAGGAUGGCGGAAUUCCGGGUGUAGCGGUGAAAUGCGUAGAGAUCGGGAGGAACACCAGUGGCGAAGGCGGCCAUCUGGCCCGCAACUGACGCUGAGGGACGAAAGCGUGGGGAGCAAACAGGAUUAGAAACCCUAGUAGUCC